GUGAAGCUGGAUUCGCUAGCAAUCGCGCAUCAGCCAUGGCGCGGUGAAUACGUUCCCGGGCCUUGUACACACCGCCCGUCAAGCCAUGAAAGCCGGGGGUACCUGAAGUACGUAACCGCAAGGAUCGUCCUAGGGUAAAACUGGUAAUUGGGGCUAAGUCGUAACAAGGUACC
This 173-nucleotide ribosomal RNA is filed under the name uncultured bacterium. RNAcentral describes it as "partial 16S ribosomal RNA". It matches the Rfam family "Bacterial small subunit ribosomal RNA", at positions 1320 to 1500 of the family's 1533-position model. The record is from RNAcentral.